RNAcentral lists this ribosomal RNA (431 nucleotides) under Sporosarcina aquimarina. RNAcentral describes it as "bacterial SSU rRNA". It matches the Rfam family "Bacterial small subunit ribosomal RNA", at positions 337 to 762 of the family's 1533-position model. The record is from RNAcentral. Lineage: Bacteria; Bacillati; Bacillota; Bacilli; Caryophanales; Caryophanaceae.
CCUUCGGGGGGGGGGCAGUAGGGAAUCUUCCACAAUGGACGAAAGUCUGAUGGAGCAAUGCCGCGUGAGUGAAGAAGGUUUUCGGAUCGUAAAGCUCUGUUGCGAGGGAAGAACAUGUACGGGAGUAACUGCCCGUACCUUGACGGUACCUCGUCAGAAAGCCACGGCUAACUACGUGCCAGCAGCCGCGGUAAUACGUAGGUGGCAAGCGUUGUCCGGAAUUAUUGGGCGUAAAGCGCGCGCAGGCGGUCCUUUAAGUCUGAUGUGAAAGCCCACGGCUCAACCGUGGAGGGUCAUUGGAAACUGGGGGACUUGAGUACAGAAGAGGAAAGCGGAAUUCCACGUGUAGCGGUGAAAUUCUAGAGAUGUGGAGGAACACCAGUGGCGAAGGCGGCUUUCUGGUCUGUAACUGACGGCGAGCCCGAAAGAAC